UUGCUGGCUGGCUGGCUGGCUAGUUAGCUAGCUAGCUAGCUUUCUAGAAGGCUCAUUUCUCAGUUCAGCAUCACCUGUAUUAGAGAAAAGAAUCACUUCAUCUGGUGUUUUAAGUGAAUAAAAUAGCUUUACCAGCCUACUUACUGGAGUUCUACAACUACACAUAUCCUCUACAAGUAUAAUUUUGUAUAUGUUUUAUGUG
Etheostoma cragini (Arkansas darter) is the source of this 202-nucleotide long non-coding RNA. RefSeq lists it as uncharacterized. The record is from RefSeq and is a predicted model, not a curated record. Lineage: Eukaryota; Metazoa; Chordata; Actinopteri; Perciformes; Percidae. The transcript has 3 exons.